Molecule: long non-coding RNA, 161 nt
Organism: Thalassophryne amazonica
Lineage: Eukaryota; Metazoa; Chordata; Actinopteri; Batrachoidiformes; Batrachoididae
Exons: 3
Source: RefSeq, a predicted model, not a curated record
GGCCAAAACGUCGAGUGUUAGUGAUAGAGUAUUCUAUCACCCGUAAAGUUAGAUGACAGAUGCCAGCUGAUGUUAAAUAUAUUCCUGGGGCCAGGGCACCCAGCAGUGCCUCUCAAAUUAGGGUGCUGACGUUGCAUAAGGGCAGACAGAAUCAAGAACAU